GGGGAAUUAGCUCAAAUGGUAGAGCGCUUCGCUAGCAUAAGAUUAGUGGGAUCGAUGCCCACAUUCUCCA
This 70-nucleotide transfer RNA is filed under the name Perca fluviatilis (European perch). RNAcentral's name for it is "tRNA-Leu". It matches the Rfam family "tRNA". Rfam says of the family: Transfer RNA (tRNA) molecules are approximately 80 nucleotides in length. Their secondary structure includes four short double-helical elements and three loops (D, anti-codon, and T loops). Further hydrogen bonds mediate the characteristic L-shaped molecular structure. tRNAs have two regions of fundamental functional importance: the anti-codon, which is responsible for specific mRNA codon recognition, and the 3' end, to which the tRNAs corresponding amino acid is attached (by aminoacyl-tRNA synthetases). tRNAs cope with the degeneracy of the genetic code in two manners: having more than one tRNA (with a specific anti-codon) for a particular amino acid; and 'wobble' base-pairing, i.e. permitting non-standard base-pairing at the 3rd anti-codon position. The record is from RNAcentral. Lineage: Eukaryota; Metazoa; Chordata; Actinopteri; Perciformes; Percidae.